Molecule: long non-coding RNA, 241 nt
Filed under: Dasypus novemcinctus (nine-banded armadillo)
Lineage: Eukaryota; Metazoa; Chordata; Mammalia; Cingulata; Dasypodidae
Description: lncRNA (ENSDNOG00000051163.1)
Source: RNAcentral
CGUUCCUUGGGUUUGAGGAGAAGAGAGUGUUCUGAGGAAACUCUAGACCUUGAACCAUUAGGAGGUACAGGCAGCAUUGUCGGAACAUCCUUCUUAUAAGCAAGAUUUUGUGUCCUGGAACUCCUACCCACUUGUCUGCAUCUGUCUAAUCUAGAGCAGUGGUUGUCACAAGGUGGUCCAUAACAGCAUCGGCCUCACCUGGAAGCUUGUUAGAAAUGCAGAUUCUCAGGCCCCAUCCCAG